CAGACAACUAGGAUGUUGGCUUAGAAGCAGCCAUCAUUUAAAGAGUGCGUAAUAGCUCACUAGUCGAGUGACACUGCGCCGAAAAUGUACCGGGGCUAAACAUAUUACCGAAGCUGUGGAUUGUCCUUUGGACAAUGGUAGGAGAGCGUUCUAAGGGCGUUGAAGCAUGAUCGUAAGGACAUGUGGAGCGCUUAGAAGUGAGAAUGCCGGUGUGAGUAGCGAAAGACGGGUGAGAAUCCCGUCCACCGAUUGACUAAGGUUUCCAGAGGAAGGCUCGUCCGCUCUGGGUUAGUCGGGUCCUAAGCUGAGGCCGACAGGCGUAGGCGAUGGAUAACAGGUUGAUAUUCCUGUACCACCUAUAAUCGUUUUAAUCGAUGGGGGGACGCAGUAGGAUAGGCGAAGCGUGCGAUUGGAUUGCACGUCUAAGCAGUAAGGCUGAGUAUUAGGCAAAUCCGGUACUCGUUAAGGCUGAGCUGUGAUGGGGAGAAGACAUUGUGUCUUCGAGUCGUUGAUUUCACACUGCCGAGAAAAGCCUCUAGAUAGAAAAUAGGUGCCCGUACCGCAAACCGACACAGGUAGUCAAGAUGAGAAUUCUAAGGUGAGCGAGCGAACUCUCGUUAAGGAACUCGGCAAAAUGACCCCGUAACUUCGGGAGAAGGGGUGCUCUUUAGGGUUAACGCCCAGAAGAGCCGCAGUGAAUAGGCCCAAGCGACUGUUUAUCAAAAACACAGGUCUCUGCUAAACCGUAAGGUGAUGUAUAGGGGCUGACGCCUGCCCGGUGCUGGAAGGUUAAGAGGAGUGGUUAGCUUCUGCGAAGCUACGAAUCGAAGCCCCAGUAAACGGCGGCCGUAAC
RNAcentral lists this ribosomal RNA (853 nucleotides) under Staphylococcus aureus. RNAcentral describes it as "bacterial LSU rRNA". It matches the Rfam family "Bacterial large subunit ribosomal RNA", at positions 1086 to 1940 of the family's 2925-position model. Lineage: Bacteria; Bacillati; Bacillota; Bacilli; Caryophanales; Staphylococcaceae. The record is from RNAcentral.